CAGCUUUACAAAAAACAACACACAGAAGCUGAGAUGGUGUCGGUUUUAUUCAAUUCCACUGAGGCUGACUGGAGUUUGUACUGUAUGUGUAGUGGUGUGUGGGUAAAAUCACUAGGAAAGCACCCCCCACAAAAAGGCAGAUUUAAACCUGUGUUGUGAUAAUUGUGAUGUUUGCUCUAUAACAUAUAUACAUUAACCUUGAGACUGUGAUAUAUAAUCAUGGACGGAGACACAUUUAGAAAGAUCCUGUCGUACUGCAUUUUAUUAUUGUAUACAAAGAAAAACAAGACACGUGUAUAAAUGCAUUGCUUCAAAACUACUCUUAGUAGCCUCAGUAAGAAGACACUUAUCCACAGCAAAAUAUUACAACCCCUUUUUUAAAGAAACAUAGCAUUUGAAAUAAAUACGUUUGGAUGAUAACAUCUUGCUGAUUGCAUUGGGGGCAAUGCACUUUCACACUAUUUACACUUUAAAUCUGACUAAAUAAUCAUCACCGUCUCACAGACCCUCAGUGCUCACAGAAACUGUUGCCCUUUACAUUCAAACCUCAUCCCUUCAUCGUCACAUUCUAUUUUUAAAUGUGCUUUUGUCAAGGAACCAAAAGUGAAAACUACACAUUUUUCCCAUUACCAGAAUAUACAGUGUACUGUAUACUAUAUAAAGACAGGACAAUGUACCAGAUAUAACUUGGUGUCAAACAGAAGACAUGCAAGCACUCAAUAAAGUGAAGAAUAUGAAUGUGACCAACAUGUCCCUCUUGAAGGUGACAUAAAGUAGACUAUACAGGUUACAUAAAGUAGACUAUACAGGUCACAUAAAGUAGACUAUACAGGUUACAUAGAGUAGACUAUACAGGUUACAUAAAGUAGACGAUACAGGUCACAUAAAGUAGACUAUACAGGUUACAUAAAGUAGACUAUACAGGUUACAUAAAGUAGACUAUACAGGUUACAUAAAGUAGACUAUACAGGCUACAUAGAGUAGACUAUACAGGUUACAUAAAGUAGACUAUACAGGUUACAUAAAGUAGACUAUACAGGUUACAUAGAGUAGACUAUACAGGUUACAUAAAGUAGACUAUACAGGUUACAUAAAGUAGACUAUACAGGUUACAUAGAGUAGACUAUACAGGUUACAUAAAGUAGACUAUACAGGUUACAUAGAGUAGACUAUACAGGUUACAUAAAGUAGACUAUACAGGUUACAUAAAGUAGACUAUACAGGUUACAUAGAGUAGACUAUACAGGUUACAUAAAGUAGACUAUACAGGUUACAUAAAGUAGACUGUACAGGUUACAUAAAGUAGACUAUACAGGUUACAUAAAGUAGACUGUACAGGUUACAUAAAGUAGACUAUACAGGUUACAUAAAGUAGACUAUACAGGUUACAUAAAGUAGACUAUACAGGUUACAUAAAGUAGACUAUACAGGUUACAUAAAGUAGACUAUACAGGUUACAUAAAGUAGACUAUACAGGUUACAUAAAGUAGACUAUACAGGCUACAUAAAGUAGACUGUACAGGUUACAUAAAGUAGACUAUACAGGUUACAUAGAGUAGACUAUACAGGUUACAUAGAGUAGACUAUACAGGUUACAUAAAGUAGACUAUACAGGUUACAUAAAGUAGACUAUACAGGUUACAUAAAGUAGACUAUGCAGGUUAUUUACCAGGAUUUGGAGUGUAGAUGAGUAGAUCUGUCAGGUGUGUUAGACAGUAGAGGGGUGUCACUACAUUCCUCAGUGUUUGUUUAUACUGUAAGCUUAUGGUGUCUGUCAGGAACGCCACACCAGACACACCCUUACGUAUUCUCUUGGCAGUUAGUCACGUUGUAAAAUCUGUGUCCUUGGUAACUCAAAGCAGAAUGAGAAAAAAACAACACAGUUAUUGGCGGCUUGAAAAAAUGUAUGUGUUGCGUAAGUUGUUUUCUAUGUCAGCUGAAUGCACCUUUAAGUUCAUUGAACCAUGGUUAUGUGAGUGUGAAUUUACGUUGUACGUAAAUUCCCCAUAUUAAUUCCCCUCCCCAUAUUUAAGUCAUUUAAUGGACAACAACACUUAGGCUUCUACUUACAACACUUAGGUUCCAGCUUAUACAUACUAUAUACAUACACAGUAUAUUUGACAAUCUUGUUCUAUUUGACAUAUAUUUAUCAACUGUGCUGUGAUGUUUCACAAAAGUUCCGAACCAAAAGUCAUACACCCAAUGUUUAUUUAGGUAUAUGUGGGUCUUUUAACAACAUCGGUCAUGCAUCUUGUUGACAUUCAUCCAAGGACAUCUCAACUUCAUUACAAAUCCUCAACAACAACAAAAAAUCCCGUGACUUGUACUUAGAGAGACCAUUCCUUUAAACGCAUCCUGAUACAAACAGGAAACAAGUUGUGGACGAACCAGAAACAUUUUACGAAGUGCAUCACCUUCCUCACUUUCCCCUCCUCUCAUCUCUCCCAUCCUUGUUAUUGUCUCACAAAUCCCUCCUGUCUCUCUUAUCACCCCUCUUGUGUCUCUAUGACCCCACUUG
Molecule: long non-coding RNA, 2518 nt
Organism: Oncorhynchus tshawytscha (Chinook salmon)
Lineage: Eukaryota; Metazoa; Chordata; Actinopteri; Salmoniformes; Salmonidae
Source: Ensembl